ACUCAAAGGAAUAGACGGGGACCCGCACAAGCGGUGGAUUAUGUGGAUUAAUUCGAUGCAACGCGAAAAACCUUACCUACCCUUGACAUGUCAGAAAGUUUUUAGAGAUAAAUUCGUGCCCGAAAGGGAAUUUGAACACAGGUGCUGCAUGGCUGUCGUCAGCUCGUGUCGUGAGAUGUUGGGUUAAGUCCCGCAACGAGCGCAACCCUUGUCAUUAAUUGCCAUCAUUUAGUUGGGCACUUUAAUGAAACUGCCGGUGAUAAACCGGAGGAAGGUGGGGAUGACGUCAAGUCCUCAUGGCCCUUAUGGGUAGGGCUUCACACGUAAUACAAUGGCGCGUACAGAGGGUUGCCAACUCGCAAGAGGGAGCCAAUCUCAGAAAGCGCGUCGUAGUCCGGAUCGGAGUCUGCAACUCGACUCCGUGAAGUCGGAAUCGCUAGUAAUCGCGGAUCAGCAUGUCGCGGUGAAUACGUUCCCGGGUCUUGUACACACCGCCCGU
Molecule: ribosomal RNA, 499 nt
Filed under: uncultured bacterium
Lineage: Bacteria
Description: partial 16S ribosomal RNA
Rfam family: Bacterial small subunit ribosomal RNA
Source: RNAcentral